Molecule: ribosomal RNA, 383 nt
Filed under: uncultured eukaryote
Lineage: Eukaryota
Description: partial 18S ribosomal RNA
Rfam family: Eukaryotic small subunit ribosomal RNA
Source: RNAcentral
CAAUAGCGUAUAUUAAAGUUGUUGCAGUUAAAAAGCUCGUAGUUGGAUUUCUGGUAGGAGCGACCGUGCCGAACUUGAUUGUUCGAGUAUUGUGUUGUCUCCAGCCAUCCUCGUGGAGAACUUUUCUAACAUUAACUUGUUGGGAUUGGGACCCGCGUCGUUUACUGUGAAAAAAUUAGAGUGUUUAAAGCAGGCAUUAGCUUGAAUACAUUAGCAUGGAAUAAUAAGAUAGGACUUUGGUACUAUUUUGUUGGUUUGCAUACCAAAUUAAUGAUCAACAGGAACAGUUUGAGGAUAUUCGUAUGAACAUGUCAGAGGUGAAAUUCUUGGAUUUUGAUCAGACGAACUACUGCGAAAGCAUUUAUCAAGGAUGUUUUCAUUAA